RNAcentral lists this ribosomal RNA (196 nucleotides) under Escherichia coli. Its description in RNAcentral is "partial 16S ribosomal RNA". It matches the Rfam family "Bacterial small subunit ribosomal RNA", at positions 1 to 204 of the family's 1533-position model. The record is from RNAcentral. Lineage: Bacteria; Pseudomonadati; Pseudomonadota; Gammaproteobacteria; Enterobacterales; Enterobacteriaceae.
AAAUUGAAGAGUUUGAUCAUGGCUCAGAUUGAACGCUGGCGGCAGGCCUAACACAUGCAAGUCGAACGGUAACAGAAAGCAGCUUGCUGCUUUGCUGACGAGUGGCGGACGGGUGAGUAAUGUCUGGGAAACUGCCUGAUGGAGGGGGAUAACUACUGGAAACGGUAGCUAAUACCGCAUAACGUCGCAAGACCAA